CAGCCGCCGCGGUAAAACCAGCACCUCAAGUGGUCAGGAUGAUUAUUGGGCCUAAAGCAUCCGUAGCCGGCUCUGUAAGUUUUCGGUUAAAUCUGUACGCUCAACGUACAGGCUGCCGGGAAUACUGCAGAGCUAGGGAGUGGGAGAGGUAGACGGUACUCGGUAGGAAGGGGUAAAAUCCUUUGAUCUAUUGAUGACCACCUGUGGCGAAGGCGGUCUACCAGAACACGUCCGACGGUGAGGGAUGAAAGCUGGGGGAGCAAACCGGAUUAGAUACCCGGGUAGUCCCAGCUGUAAACUAUGCAAACUCAGUGAUGCAUUGGCUUGUGGCCAAUGCAGUGCUGCAGGGAAGCCGUUAAGUUUGCCGCCUGGGAAGUACGUACGCAAGUAUGAAACUUAAAGGAAUUGGCGGGGGAGCAC
RNAcentral lists this ribosomal RNA (420 nucleotides) under uncultured euryarchaeote. RNAcentral describes it as "bacterial SSU rRNA". It matches the Rfam family "Archaeal small subunit ribosomal RNA", at positions 459 to 879 of the family's 1478-position model. The record is from RNAcentral. Lineage: Archaea; Methanobacteriati; Methanobacteriota. RNAcentral also lists the same sequence under 1 other name.